GAGCAGCAUGGCGGCGGGCAGGGUCCGGGUCCCGGCAGCGGCGGCAGCGGCCUCGUCGCCGCUCUUGUCUGCGUGCGAUCGUCCAGAGCCAGACCAGGGGAAAUCCAGGGAGGACUGCUGGGAUGCCUUCCGUCUUCUCCCUGCGAGCCAGGAACUCGAUCGUCCGACGAUGUGCGAGGCUGCGUGACCGCUCGAAGCAGACCGGUGUGCUGGAAUAGCCCGGAGGACGGGCUCUCUCUCGUGCUCUAGCACAGGAAGAGCCGUGGGAAGCCUGAAGAAAUUUGGGAUUAGAGCUCGGAGGAAAGGUUCCUUCCCGGCAGCUCUUCCGCAGCAGAAAAAAGGCCACUUUUGUCAA
This is a long non-coding RNA of Pezoporus flaviventris, 355 nucleotides long. RefSeq lists it as uncharacterized. The record is from RefSeq and is a predicted model, not a curated record. NCBI's taxonomy places the organism in Eukaryota, Metazoa, Chordata, Aves, Psittaciformes, Psittacidae. The transcript has 3 exons.